RNAcentral lists this ribosomal RNA (253 nucleotides) under uncultured bacterium. Its description in RNAcentral is "partial 16S ribosomal RNA". It matches the Rfam family "Bacterial small subunit ribosomal RNA", at positions 524 to 776 of the family's 1533-position model. The record is from RNAcentral.
UACGUAGGGUGCAGGCGUUAAUCGGAAUUACUGGGCGUAAAGCGUGCGCAGGCGGUUUCGUAAGUUUGAUGUGAAAUCCCCGGGCUUAACCUGGGAAUGGCAUUGAGGACUGCGAGGCUGGAGUGUGGCAGAGGAGACUGGAAUUCCCGGUGUAGCAGUGAAAUGCGUAGAUAUCGGGAGGAAUACCGAUGGCGAAGGCAGGUCUCUGGGCUGACACUGACGCUCAUGCACGAAAGCUAGGGGAGCAAACGGG